Molecule: ribosomal RNA, 253 nt
Filed under: uncultured bacterium
Lineage: Bacteria
Description: partial 16S ribosomal RNA
Rfam family: Bacterial small subunit ribosomal RNA
Source: RNAcentral
UACAGAGGUGGCAAGCGUUGUUCGGAAUUACUGGGCGUAAAGGGCGCGUAGGCGGUCUUGCAAGUCCCGUGUGAAAUCCCUCGGCUCAACUGAGGAAUUGCACGGGAAACUGCUUGGCCUGAGAUCGGGAGAGGGAAGCGGAAUUCCGGGUGUAGCGGUGAAAUGCGUAGAUAUCCGGAGGAACACCGGUGGCGAAGGCGGCUUCCUGGACCGACACUGACGCUGAGGCGCGAAAGCGUGGGGAGCAAACAGG